This 570-nucleotide ribosomal RNA is filed under the name uncultured bacterium. RNAcentral describes it as "bacterial SSU rRNA". It matches the Rfam family "Bacterial small subunit ribosomal RNA", at positions 35 to 637 of the family's 1533-position model. The record is from RNAcentral.
GCUGGCGGCGUGCCUAACACAUGCAAGUCGCACGAGAAAGGGGUUUCGGCCCUGAGUAAAGUGGCGCACGGGUGAGUAACACGUGACUAACCUACCCUCGAGUGGGGAAUAACCUAGAGAAAUCUGGGCUAAUACCGCAUAACACUUACGAGUCAAAGCAGCAAUGCGCUUGGGGAGGGGGUCGCGGCAGAUUAGCUAGUUGGUGAGGUAAUGGCUCACCAAGGCGAUGAUCUGUAUCCGGCCUGAGAGGGCGCACGGACACACUGGAACUGAAACACGGUCCAGACUCCUACGGGAGGCAGCAGUGGGGAAUUUUGCGCAAUGGGGGAAACCCUGACGCAGCAACGCCGCGUGGAGGAUGAAAUCCCUUGGGAUGUAAACUCCUUUCGAUAGGGAAGAUUAUGACGGUACCUAUAGAAGAAGCCCCGGCUAACUUCGUGCCAGCAGCCGCGGUAAUACGAGGGGGGCAAGCGUUGUUCGGAAUUAUUGGGCGUAAAGGGCGCGUANGCGGUUUGACAAGUCUUAUGUGAAAUCUCUGGGCUCAACCCAGAGUCUGCAUGGGAAACUGUC